AAAUAAGGAAAAUAAGGAAACGAUCCCUGGAGUGGUCGAGGCAGACCACAUUCCUCCACAGAAUAGUUUUUGGGAACUCUGUAAAAUUCUCAUUAAUGAUGAAAAAAAGAAUAAGGCACUCUAUGACUUAGUGAUGAACGAUAAGGAUAGAAUUGAGAAGUAUUUAAAGGAGAAGGAUGAGAACAAGAAGGAUGAGAACAAGAAGGAUAAGAACAAGAAGGAUAAGAACAAGAUGGAUAACAACAAGAUGGAUAACAACAAUAUGGAUAACAACAAUAUGAAUAGGAAAACGCCUCCUAGUUUUUAUGGAAGACAUCUGAUUUCCAUGAACACUCUGCACUGGGACCAUCAACGUGCACUGACUACUGCCAGCAGUCAUGUAUCCGUAGCAUGCAGAGAAUUGCUGACUAAACAUUUGGAAAAGGACACGUGGUUAAAGCACUGAAGCUGUCACUAAUUAUGGCCCACCCGGAAUCCUCGGACUACAUACACACUAACUGGGUAUAGACACCUCAGGUCCAGACAACAACACACCAAAGAGUGAGGUCGAAGGUGGAACUAAUCAAUCAGAUGUGGAUGUGAACCCCAGACUUACACUAGAGAAUAUGAACAAAUACUACAAAGAUGGAUUUAAGAAAAUUGUAAAUAAAUACAAGGAGAUAAAAGUGAUUAAAGAAGAAGAAGCAGUUAAACUGAUUAAGUGGGUGGAUGAAGAUAAAUAUUUGUGCAAAGAAGAAGAAAAAGAAGAAGAAAAAGAAGAAGAAGAAGAAGAAGAAGAAUAAGAAGAAGAAGAAAUAAAAAAAAUAAAUGUAAAUUACAUAAUUAAGAUUUGCAAGGACAAGCUCAGUCAGAACCCAGUCCCAGCUCAGUCCCAGGCCCCCACAAAGAAGAGGAAUGUGUUUGCAUUAAGGCGUGAAUCUGUGCCAAA
Tachysurus vachellii is the source of this 928-nucleotide long non-coding RNA. RefSeq lists it as uncharacterized. The record is from RefSeq and is a predicted model, not a curated record. The transcript is spliced from 4 exons. Lineage: Eukaryota; Metazoa; Chordata; Actinopteri; Siluriformes; Bagridae.